This 163-nucleotide ribosomal RNA is filed under the name Oncidium nevadense. RNAcentral describes it as "5.8S ribosomal RNA". It matches the Rfam family "5.8S ribosomal RNA". From Rfam's summary of the family: 5.8S ribosomal RNA (5.8S rRNA) is a component of the large subunit of the eukaryotic ribosome. Lineage: Eukaryota; Viridiplantae; Streptophyta; Magnoliopsida; Asparagales; Orchidaceae. The record is from RNAcentral.
GACACGACUCUCGGCAAUGGAUAUCUCGGCUCUUGCAUCGAUGAAGAGCGCAGCGAAAUGCGAUACGUGGUGCGAAUUGCAGAAUCCCGCGAACCAUCGAGUCUUUGAACGCAAGUUGCGCCCGAGCCAGCCGGCCAAGGGCACGUCCGCCUGGGCGUCAAGC